Molecule: long non-coding RNA, 608 nt
Organism: Heterocephalus glaber (naked mole-rat)
Lineage: Eukaryota; Metazoa; Chordata; Mammalia; Rodentia; Bathyergidae
Source: Ensembl
UUUAGGGAAUGAAGUGUGACAGACGCUUGAUUGGACAGAGAGUAAUCUGAUGCUGAUCAGGGGAGGGGAAUGGACCAAGGCCUGUUUGGUUGGAAUCUUCUCGGCGUCCCUGUAUCCUUAGGUCUUCAGAGAUAAGGCUGUUUCUUUCCGCUGGGCACAGGAAUCAGCUUUCGUGAGAAGGGUUUUGCCGUGUAGCCCGGACUGGCCUUGAAUUUGUACUGAUCUCCUGCCUCAGCCUCCUUAGGACUGGAAUUACAGGGCUUUAAUCUUCAGAAUCAACACCACCAGUAAAUCGCUUGUGUAACCAAGCAAUAGACUGAAGCAGAGGAUGAAGGCAGUGAGACAGAGUACAGGGAGGAAAUGAGUCACCAUGAAUAAGAACUACUUCAGGUGAGACCGCUGGGGACUGGGCUGGCUGUACUUGGAAAGGUGGGCUACAUACCCAGGAGAGGGAGACUGCAAGGCGUCUUCGGAAGGCUGGGAACUGGCUGGGCAGUUGGAACAGUUUGUAGGGCGGGUGGAAAGAGGGCAGUUGGGAAUUGGAGUGGGGCAGAUGGGGGCGCCUUGAAUUCUGGCUCAAGGGCUUAGAACUUGAGCUUGUAGGCCAA